CGUGAAAUGACUUUAUUAUAGUAAAAUGACUUAAUUCUUAUACAUGAAAUGAUCUUAUUAUUCCCAUGGAUUCACAUUUAACAUUGAUACAUGAAAUUGAUCCUCAACCAUUUCCCUUAAUUUUUUUUUUGUAAGAAACUUUUGUUAGUAGACAGGUGAGCAACUAGCUCCUUUCCAACCCUGACAGAGUUGACAUAAUCUCUAGGGCUAUGGGCAGCGAUUCCAGGCAGAGCUAGUCCCAUUAACCUGAACAAUGUGCAGAACCAUCCUUCCUUAUACUCUGGCCCAUGAGUGUACGGCAUUGCUAAACUUCUCAGAAUCUCCCAUGCUGCAUUCAUGUGUCGUGAUAUAUAUCAGAUAUCUCAUUCCAAAGAAAUUUGGGCUUGGGUGCUCAUCGUUUGUCUGUAAAUAUACACACAUAAUCAACUCAUAACAUAAUAUAUAGGACUUUCCAACUCCAGUUGGAGCCCAAUUAACCAGAAAAAAGAAAAAGAAAAAUCCAUGACCAGAGAGAAAAAAAAAAAAUACAUACGUGUUGAUAGUACCAGCUAUUAUGGUAAGGCACACUCCAAAAUGCUUAUAGGAGAAGAUUUGGUCAUCGAAAGGCACCCUAGGCACAAGGUCAUUACAGUAGACCACCCUGAAGUAUUUGGCGACUGGAUUGUUCAAAUGGGCUUCCAUGAACUUUCAUAGCUGCGCAUCCCCAACCCUUGGCUGCCCAAAUGUGUAUACUCUAAGCAACCUUUCUGCUAAUUCCAUUUCUUCUUGUAUCACUAGCACAGCUACGAAUAAUACAGGAAGUGCACCACCUAAACUAUGUCCAGUGACUACAAAUGUUACAUUCUUGUGCUCCCUCAGUGGGAUCUACAGCUUCAUUGCCACAGCACAGUAUGCACUCUUUUUUUUUCGCUAUUUUCAAUUGGAACUUCUGAUUGCUAGAACCACUGGUUGUCCCCUCGGAGCCUGAAGAAUUGUCCCAUAUGCUUUGGCACUUAUCUGAUUUAGUAGUGAAUGAUACUGUUUUAGUACCUUCUGAAGGGGUUUUGGUAGCAUCAUGAUCACCUUUUGAAUAUUUGAAAUUCCUGUUCUGCCUCCGAAGGUUAUACUGGAAGGUGAGAGCAUUCCUUCUGUCUCCUAAACCCAAUGCUUCCAAGAAUCCAACGUGAACUUUUCCCACUUCUGGGAUCUCAAACCAAGAGAAAUCAAAGUCAGUAUUCCAAUCACUAGCAUGAAAUGGUUCUGUUCCCCUAAAGCUGAUCAAUAUCAAGUUUGCAUCUUUUGGUUUGUCACAGAGUAUAAACACUUGGGCGUGGCUUUCCUUAUGGUAUUCUAUCAGAAAACAUAAACCAAAAUAAUGAAAAUUCCAAGUUCAAUCCAGGUGAAAAAAAAAAAGGUGAGAAUAGAGUAUAUAAAAGAAAUUGUGUUUUCUUACCAUUCCAGCAGUCAGAGAAAUCCACAAAAUGCAUCUACUUUUGUUAUACGGGGAAAAGUUCAUAAUAUGAAUAUCAGAAGACAUUGAUCAUGAGAAACAAAAUAUUGAGGGAGAGGAGAUGAUUAGAAAUAGUUCUUGCCUUCCAGUGAUUAUUAAUGACAUUUUUUACGACUGCAGCAUUCUCGUAAGCUAAUUUGGAAACCAUGAUAGAGAGGUCCAUAAGAGCUCUGUUCCUCAAACCUACACUGAUGCUUCUCUCUGCAGAAAUAGAAUCAUCUAUCUGUUUCACCAAGUUGUCACCCUUGCACAAGUCUAUUCGCCCAUCCAAUUGCCCAAUGGUGCUUAUGAAAGUCUUUGAGUCUCUAUGUUGUAUCACCACCUUCCCUGCAUUCCCAUUGUCAGUGUAAUAUUAAGUACUUGCUUCUAUUCUAUAUACAUUUUUAGGAAAGGAAAUCAAGCUCAAGGGGAAAACCAAUUGCAUACAACGGAGAAAGUUGCCAAGGAAGCCACCAUUCUUAG
RNAcentral lists this unclassified non-coding RNA (1951 nucleotides) under Hevea brasiliensis (rubber tree). The record is from RNAcentral. Lineage: Eukaryota; Viridiplantae; Streptophyta; Magnoliopsida; Malpighiales; Euphorbiaceae.